RNAcentral lists this ribosomal RNA (1438 nucleotides) under uncultured Bordetella sp. RNAcentral's name for it is "partial 16S-23S ribosomal RNA intergenic spacer". It matches the Rfam family "Bacterial small subunit ribosomal RNA". The record is from RNAcentral. Lineage: Bacteria; Pseudomonadati; Pseudomonadota; Betaproteobacteria; Burkholderiales; Alcaligenaceae.
GGUUCAGUAUAGCUCCAGAUUGAACGCUGGCGGGAUGUACAUGCAAGUCGAACGGCAGCACGGACUUCGGUCUGGUGAGUGGCGAACAGGUGAGUAAUGUAUCGGAACGUGCUAUUAAUGGCGGGGACUGGCUUCCGCGGCGUAAGCUAUUUACCGCCAUACAAGCCAGGGGACCUUCGGGCCUCACUAUUAGAGCAGCCGAUAUCGGAUUAGCUAUUUGGUGGGGUAACAGCUCACCAGGCGACGAUCCUUAAAAGCUGGUUGAGAGACGACCAGCACACUGGGACUGAGACGAACUCCUACGGAGAGGCAGCAGUGGAAUUUGGACAAUGGGAAACUGAUCCAGCCAUCCCGCGUGUGCGAUGAAGGCCUUCGGGCUGUAAAAAAAGCACUUUUAGCGGAAAAAAACGGCACGGGAUAAUACCCCGUACAGCUGACGAAAACACCUGCAGAAUAAGCGCCGGCUAACUACGUGUGGCAGCCGCGGUAAUACGUAGGGUGCAAGCGUUAAUCGGAAUUACUGGGCGUAAAGCGAUAACAGGCGGUUCAGAAGAAAAGAUGUAGAAAUCCCAGAGCUUAACUUUGGAACUGCAUUUUAACUACCGAGCUAGGAAGUGUGUCAGAGGAGGUGGAAUUCCACAAUCAUAGCAUUAGUACGUAGAUAUGGGCACCGAUGGCAAGGCAGCCUCCUGGGAUGCUACUGACGCUCAUGCACAGCGUGGGGAGCAAACAGGAUUAGAUACCCUGGUAGUCCACGCCCUAAACGUGUCAACUAGCUGUUGGGGCCUUCAGGCCUUGGUAGCGCAACUAACGCGUGAAAUUUGACCGCCUGAGUGGUCCUGGAGUGAAACACCGAAGGAAUUGACGGGGACCCGCACAAGCGGUGGAUGAUGUGGAUUAAUUCGAUGCAACGCGAAAAACCUUACCUACCCUUGACAUGUCUGGAAUCCCGAAAGAGAUUUGGGAGUGCUCUUAGAGAACCGGAACACAGGUGCACCAUGGCUGUCGUCAGCUCGUGCGUGGAUGUUGGGUUAAGUCCCGCAACGGCGCAACCCUUGUCGUGGAUUGCUACGAAAGGGCGCUCUAAUGAGACUGCCGGUGACAAACCGGAGGAAGGUGGGGAUGACGUCAAGUCCUCAUGGCCCUUAUGGGUAGGGCUUCACACGUCAUACAAUGGUCAGGACAGAGGUCGCCAACCCGCGAGGGGAGCCAAUCCCAGAAACCCGAUCGUAGUCCGGAUCGCAGUCUGCAACUCGACUGCGUGAAGUCAGAAUCGCUAAUAAUGCGGAUCAGCAUGUCGCAGUGGGCGUUCCCCGGGUCUUGUACACACCGCCGUCACACCAUGGGAGUGGGUUUUACCAGAAGUAGUUAGCUAACCGUAAGGAGAGGCGAUUACCACGGUAGGAUUCAUGACUGGGGUGAAGUCGUAACAAGGUAA